This 513-nucleotide ribosomal RNA is filed under the name uncultured bacterium. Its description in RNAcentral is "partial 16S ribosomal RNA". It matches the Rfam family "Bacterial small subunit ribosomal RNA", at positions 30 to 523 of the family's 1533-position model. The record is from RNAcentral.
AUUGAACGCUGGCGGCAUGCCUAACACAUGCAAGUCGAACGGCAGCACAGUAAAGACUUCGGUCUUUAUGGGCGGCGAGUGGCGGACGGGUGAGUAACGCGUAGGAAUCUGUCCUGGAGAGUGGGAUAACCCGAGGAAACUCGGGCUAAUACCGCAUGAUAUCGAGAGAUCAAAGGCAGGGGACCCUUCGGGGCCUUGCGCUCUAGGUUGAGCCUACGUCGGAUUAGCUAGUUGGUGGGGUAAAGGCCUACCAAGGCGACGACCCGUAACUGGUCUGAGAGGAUGAUCAGGCACACCGGAACUGAGACACGGUCCGGACUCCUACGGGAGGCAGCAGUGGGGAAUAUUGGACAAUGGGGGCAACCCUGAUCCAGCCAUGCCGCGUGUGUGAAGAAGGCCUUCGGGUUGUAAAGCACUUUAGGUCGGGAGGAAGGUUCGCUGGCUAAUAUCCAGCGGAAUUGACGUUACCGACAGAAUAAGCACCGGCUAACUCCGUGCCAGCCGCCGCCGUAA